RNAcentral lists this ribosomal RNA (195 nucleotides) under Amanita caesareoides. Its description in RNAcentral is "partial 28S ribosomal RNA". It matches the Rfam family "Eukaryotic large subunit ribosomal RNA", at positions 1 to 193 of the family's 3401-position model. Lineage: Eukaryota; Fungi; Basidiomycota; Agaricomycetes; Agaricales; Amanitaceae. The record is from RNAcentral.
UUGACCUCAAAUCAAGCAAGAUUACCCGCUGAACUUAAGCUUCAAUAAGCGGAGGAAAAGAAACUAACAAGGAUUCCCCUAGUAACUGCGAGUGAAGCGGGAAAAGCUCAAAUUUAAAAUCUGGCAGUGAUUCACUGCCCGAGUUGUAAUCUAGAGAAGUGUUGCUCACACUGGACCGUGUACCAAGUCUCCUGA